RNAcentral lists this ribosomal RNA (945 nucleotides) under uncultured bacterium. RNAcentral describes it as "bacterial SSU rRNA". It matches the Rfam family "Bacterial small subunit ribosomal RNA", at positions 40 to 1006 of the family's 1533-position model. The record is from RNAcentral.
CGGUUGCCUUAGACUGCAAGUCGAACGAGUUUCCGGGCUUGCUCGGAAAUUAGUGGCGAACGGCUGAGUAACGCGUAGGUGACCUACCCCGUAGUGAGGAAUAACUGCCCGAAAGGGUAGCUAAUACCUCAUGUUGAGACGCUUUCAUUAGCGUCUCCAAGGCAGCAAUGCGCUAUGGGCGGGGCCUGCGUUCGAUUAGCUAGUUGGUGAGGUAAUGGCUCACCAAGGCGACGAUCGAUAGGUGGUCUGAGAGGACGAUCACCCAGACUGGGACUGAGACACGGCCCAGACUCCUACGGGAGGCAGCAGUCGGGAAUUUUGCGCAAUGGGGGAAACCCUGACGCAGUAAUACCGCGUGUGGGAUGAAGGCCUUCGGGCCGUAAACCACUUUUCUCGGGGACGAUAAUGACGGUACCCGAGGAAUAAGCCACGGCUAACUACGUGCCAGCAGCCGCGGUAAUACGUAGGUGGCAAGCGUUGUCCGGAUUUACUGGGCGUAAAGCGCGCGCAGGCGGUGAAUGAAGUCGAAAGUGAAAGCCCCGGGCUCAACUCGGGAACAGCUUUCGAAACCAGUUCACUUGAAGGUGGAAGAGGGAAGUGGAAUUCCGAGUGUAGCGGUGGAAUGCGCAGAUAUUCGGAGGAACACCAGAGGCGAAGGCGACUUCCUGGUCCAAUCUUGACGCUGAGGCGCGAAAGCUAGGGGAGCAAACAGGAUUAGAUAUCCUGGUAGUCCUAGCUGUAAACGAUGGAUACUAGGUGUUGGAGGUUUUAACCCCUCCGGUGCCGCAGCUAACGCAUUAAGUAUCCCGCCUGGGGAGUACGGCCGCAAGGCUAAAACUCAAAGGAAUUGACGGGGCCCCGCACAAGCAGCGGAGCGUGGGGUUUAAUUCGAUGAUACGCGAAGAACCUUACCUAGGCUUGACAUGCACAUGACCGCGGCGGAAA